UGCCAGCAGCCGCGGUAAUACGAAGGUCCCGAGCGUUAUUCGGAAUCACUGGGCGUAAAGAGUACGUAGGCGGUCAGGUAAGUCAGGUGUGAAAUCCCGGAGCUCAACUCCGGAACUGCAUCCGAUACUGCUUGACUUGAGUAAUGGAGAGGCAGGUGGAAUUCUUGGUGUAGCAGUGAAAUGCGUGGAUAUCAAGAGGAAGACCAAUGGCGAAGGCAGCCUGCUGGACAUUUACUGACGCUGAGGUACGAAGGCUAGGGUAGCGAAAGGGAUUAGAUA
RNAcentral lists this ribosomal RNA (279 nucleotides) under uncultured bacterium. RNAcentral describes it as "partial 16S ribosomal RNA". It matches the Rfam family "Bacterial small subunit ribosomal RNA", at positions 506 to 784 of the family's 1533-position model. The record is from RNAcentral.